GCCCCAGUGACUUUUAGUGACUCGGUGACUUCACAGCUUUGCUGCAAAGCUAAGAGUUUGGUCGGGUACGGCUGAGUGCCCUGAAUCACGCAUCAUGAACCUAAUCGCUAUCUGCAUUCGUCCCUCACACAGACACACACAGACACACACAAACACACGUGUGUAUGAGGGACAUGGACGGGAAAGGUGCUCAAAGUGACGAGCACCGGUUCCGAGCGUUUCCCCGGGCCCAGACAGAUCUGGGUCUGUCGCCAAGGAUUUGCCUCAACGCAGCGACGGCAACAGAUGUCGGGCCAUGGCGAGGGGCUUUGAUGGAACUCCACGGCAUCUGCACCGUGAUCAAAGCCGUGUUUUGUUUCGGCGGUGAGGCCAGGCUGUAAGGAGGAUUUUCUUUUCUUUUUCUUUUUUUUCUAGUGUUGCAAGAAGGCCAUGACUGGAAACGAGGACACACAGUGUCACAGACGAGAAGAAAUAGCCUAACACAGGACACCUGGUGCCCUGCCACGGUUCAUCGCAACACAGAUAGAGAGAUAUAAGAGGAACAGAGAUUUCAGUUGAACACAGGGCAGGGAGGGGUCGUCAUGAAAACUUCCUGUAUGAGUUCAUUCAUUGUCACGACAACAGCUGAACAACUGAAAAUGGUCGUUUGCUACUCUGCAUACUGUAUUUAUCUAUACAUGUUUUUUGUAUGUGAUGGUUAGAAUAGGCUAGUGUAGGUUAGAGACAGAUGACAAUAGAUGUGGAGGAUAUUUAAGUAAUUUAGGGGGUGGCUAUUGACUGCUGAAUCUUCUGAACUUCAUUCGAUAGAGGGUUGGAUGUUCCCUUGUGAUUUUAUCUCCCCAUGAUGUUUAGUUCACUCUUCCGAACAUGUCCAGGAAAAUGUGAUUAGGGCCGAUGCCAUGAGGAACUGGGCUUAUGAAGCACUACUGUUGAGGGGACUAGCACAGGGAAUCCUUGUAUAUAUCCUUCGGGAGAGAGGGAAUGAGUCAGAGAGAGAUGGAGAGAAGAGUUGGAAGUAAAGUCUACAGGUGCUCAGUACUACAAAAUAGAAGAAGUCUGUGCUGGUUUGCAGGGGCAUCUUAAUAGGCAUACAGUACGCCCUACAUACAAAUUAGAAAGCACCAAAUAAUCUG
Long non-coding RNA from Clupea harengus (Atlantic herring), 1133 nucleotides. The record is from Ensembl. Lineage: Eukaryota; Metazoa; Chordata; Actinopteri; Clupeiformes; Clupeidae.